ACGGGAGGCAGCAGUGGGGAAUAUUGGACAAUGGGCGAAAGCCUGAUCCAGCCAUGCCGCGUGUGUGAAGAAGGCCUUCGCGUUGUAAAGCACUUUAAGCUAGGAGGAAGGUUCGUCUCCUAACACGUGACGGAAUUGACGUUACUCGCAGAGUAAGCACCUGAUAACGUCUGUGCCGACAGCCCCGGUAAUA
RNAcentral lists this ribosomal RNA (193 nucleotides) under uncultured beta proteobacterium. Its description in RNAcentral is "partial 16S ribosomal RNA". It matches the Rfam family "Bacterial small subunit ribosomal RNA", at positions 341 to 525 of the family's 1533-position model. Lineage: Bacteria; Pseudomonadati; Pseudomonadota; Betaproteobacteria. The record is from RNAcentral.